UACACGGACCGUUUACGGGGACGGUCAAAAUAAUGUAUGUUUACCUAGUCCUCUUCGCCGUUUUGUCCUAUUUAGUGUGUAUAAAAUACAUUUACAGUCGACAAUGGCACGCUUUGAGGAGCUCGCUGAAACGUACCUUCAACGUUUCGUCAGAGAGAAAAGUAGUUGGCGCUGACGUCAGAGCUCUGGCUGUUACUGCGCAUCCGGAUGAUGAAUGCAUGUUCUUUGCCCCAACGAUCAUACGACUCGUGGAAUCGAAUGCCAGCGUACACCUGCUGUGCUUGUCUGAAGGGAACUUCUAUCAUCAGGGAUCUCAACGCAGAGAAGAACUCCUCAGAAGCUGUGCUGUGUUGGGGAUACCAGCCUCCAGAGUCACCAUCAUAAACCACGAAAAACUUCCAGAUGAUCCCAAAGCCCAAUGGAGCGUCUCAUUAGUCUCCUCUGCAGUACUGAGGCACAUCACAGAUCACUGUAUCAACAUGGUGCUGACCUUUGACGGAAGAGGUGUGAGCGGUCAUGCCAAUCACAUCGCCAUCCAUAAAGCUGUAAGACAUCUUGCUUCUACUGGUGAAUUGCCUAAAGGUAAGGUGUUACAUGAAGACGACUUGUUGAAGAUUGACAUGUUUACUGAAAGCUCUGGGAUGUUCAGCAGAGACUGGCAGGCCUUUGCCUAUUUAAUGAGUGUUUAGCGCCCUCUUCUGUUCAAACACGUUCAACAAUCUUCUCUCUGCUCCAGUUUACUUGCAGCACAGUUGGCCUGUAGUCGUGUAGUUGUGUGCUUUCAGAUUCUUCCUCUUCUCGUCAUUUCAGGGGUUUCCAUAGAAGCAUCAUUACCUUUUAGUUUUACUUUUGUUUUCCUUGGAACAUUUCUAAAGAGUCACCAGAUGGAAAAUUUCUUAGAAGACUGAAAUGAAAGUAGAAGAAAUUCUUCUACUUAGUACACAAAAUCAUUAUAUAUAAAUGAGAUGAUUGUAAAGAAAUAUAGAAUCCUGCAAAACUUUUCUACAUUUUGUUACAUGACAACUUCAAACUACUUGCUUGUUUUUAAAUAUAAAUAUUAAGUAGGGGUGCCGUACUUACUAGGACAAUUUCAGUCCCAAUUUUCUUAAUUUUGGGAGAUCUGCGAUUGGCCGAUAAUAACAUGUGAAACUGAUCUUAUCUACCGCCACAAAAGUCUGAAAAUCAGCCACUGUGCCCUUUUGCUCUGCUGUGAGACAGGGCUGCAGGUCCGCUGUUAGCAGUAGUCUCUUCACUGUUGCAAACUUUUCAGACAAAAAAACCCCAAUCUGCUCCACUCAAAAUCAGAAUCGGUAGGUCCCCGACCUGGUAACUUUAUUUCUGACUCAGACCAGGAUAUACCAACUAGCUACCACGCUACCGAACAGGAAAGUCUGUCUGUACCAGGAAGAGACUGGCAAUAAAAUUCUCCACAUUCUGUUAGACCACAAGCAGGUGAGCCCAGUAUCAUUACUCUCUUUCUGUCAACCAUUCCUUUAGAUUUAGCCACUCUAGUAUCAUUAAAAUGACCAAAGGUAACUAUCCCUCAGUGCUUCCUUAUUUUUAUUUGUUAAGAAAAAUAGGGAAUUAAUUGUUUUCCCUCCACUUAAACACUAUGAGCUGGUUAUCACAUAAAGAUAAAAAAAAAAGACAUUCCCUGAAUGUUCAUGGUCAUUACAUGGUAAAUGGUUCAAAGGACGAGAAUAAAACUCUACAAAGUACCGUCUGCUUCACCCUGACAACCCGACCUGCUGUUGGCUCGUAGUGAAGCAGCUGACGAUUAGGCCCUGUGAUAACCCUGGCCAUCAGGCUGUAAGGGGAUCUCAGCUAAUCUUGCUGCAUGUGAGGGGAAACCGUCUGCGCCACAUUAGCAGUCCGAGAUCUUCUAUGCGACAUAUUAUUUGAGCGGUGUACAUCUCGUCUUAAGGACUUGAAAAGCAGAGUGUGUGUUGCUCGCCCUGGAAACCGUAGGGCUUCUAAGAAAGUACUCCUCCUUCCUGGACCUUCCCUUCAGCUGGUUUCUACCG
Molecule: RNA transcript, 2024 nt
Organism: Poeciliopsis prolifica (blackstripe livebearer)
Lineage: Eukaryota; Metazoa; Chordata; Actinopteri; Cyprinodontiformes; Poeciliidae
Gene: pigl
Gene name: phosphatidylinositol glycan anchor biosynthesis, class L
Exons: 6
Source: RefSeq, a predicted model, not a curated record